RNAcentral lists this small RNA (127 nucleotides) under Marmota monax (woodchuck). Lineage: Eukaryota; Metazoa; Chordata; Mammalia; Rodentia; Sciuridae. The record is from RNAcentral.
GCUGGGUGUGGUGGUGUACUCCUGUGAUCCCAGCGGCUCAGGAGGCUGAGCCAGGAGGAUUGCAAGUUCAAGGCCAGCCUCAGCAACUUAGCAAGGCCCUAAGCAACUUAGUGAAACCCUGUCUCAA